CCAAUAGCGUAUAUUAAAGUUGUUGCAGUUAAAAAGCUCGUAGUUGAACUUCGGGAUCAAUUAGUUGGUCAUGCCUUGGUAUGUACUGAUUUUAUUGGUUCUCACCUUCUAAAGAACUAUAAUGUCAUUUAUUUGAUGUUAUAGGGAAUUAGGACUGUUACCUUGAAAAAAUUAGAGUGUUUAAAGCAGGCUCACGCUUGAAUACAUUAGCAUGGAAUAAUGAAAUAGGACAUCGCAUUCUAUUUUGUUGGUUUCUAGGAUCGAUGUAAUGAUUAAUAGGGAUAGUUUGGGGCAUUAGUAUUCAAUUGUCAGAGGUGAAAUUCUUGGAUUUAUUGAAGACUAACUACUGCGAAAGCAUUUGCCAAGGAUGUUUUCAUUAAUCAAGAACGAAAGUUAGGGGAUCGAAGACGAUCAGAUACCGUCGUAGUCUUAACCAUAAACUAUGCCGACUAGGGAUCGGAUGAUGUUGAUUUUUUAAUGACUCAUUCGGCACCUUACG
This 499-nucleotide ribosomal RNA is filed under the name uncultured Glomus. RNAcentral's name for it is "SSU rRNA". It matches the Rfam family "Eukaryotic small subunit ribosomal RNA", at positions 591 to 1092 of the family's 1831-position model. The record is from RNAcentral. Lineage: Eukaryota; Fungi; Glomeromycota; Glomeromycetes; Glomerales; Glomeraceae.